AAACCAGCACCUCAAGUGGUCAGGAUGAUUAUUGGGCCUAAAGCAUCCGUAGCCGGCUCUGUAAGUUUUCGGUUAAAUCUGUACGCUCAACGUACAGGCUGCCGGGAAUACUGCAGAGCUAGGGAGUGGGAGAGGUAGACGGUACUCGGGAGGAAGUGGUAAAAUGCUUUGAUCUCUCGAUGACCACCUGUGGCGAAGGCGGUCUACCAGAACACGUCCGACGGUGAGGGAUGAAAGCUGGGGGAGCAAACCGGAUUAGAUACCCUUGUAGUCC
RNAcentral lists this ribosomal RNA (274 nucleotides) under uncultured bacterium. Its description in RNAcentral is "partial 16S ribosomal RNA". It matches the Rfam family "Archaeal small subunit ribosomal RNA", at positions 473 to 747 of the family's 1478-position model. The record is from RNAcentral.